AACGUAGGAGACAAACGUUAUCCGGAGUUACUGGGCGUAAAGGGCGUGUAGGCGGUUAGUUAAGUCUGGCGUGAAAGCUCUCGGCUAAACCGGGAGAGGUCGUCGGAUACUGGCAAACUAGAGGACGGUAGAGGCGUGUGGAAUUCCGGGUGUAGUGGUGAAAUGCGUAGAGAUCCGGAGGAACACCAGUGGCGAAGGCGACACGCUGGGCCGUACCUGACGCUAAAGCGCGACAGCAUGGGGAGCGAACGGG
RNAcentral lists this ribosomal RNA (253 nucleotides) under uncultured bacterium. RNAcentral describes it as "partial 16S ribosomal RNA". It matches the Rfam family "Bacterial small subunit ribosomal RNA", at positions 524 to 776 of the family's 1533-position model. The record is from RNAcentral.